This 253-nucleotide ribosomal RNA is filed under the name uncultured bacterium. Its description in RNAcentral is "partial 16S ribosomal RNA". It matches the Rfam family "Bacterial small subunit ribosomal RNA", at positions 524 to 776 of the family's 1533-position model. The record is from RNAcentral.
UACGGAGGGUGCAAGCAUUGAUCGGAAUUACUGGGCGUAAAGGGCGCGUAGGCGGCUUUAUAAGUCAGAUGUGAAAUUCCGUGGCUCAACCACGGAGCUGCAUUUGAAACUGCAAAGCUAGAGGUUAGUUAGGGAAAACGGAAUUCCACGUGUAGCGGUGAAAUGCGUAGAUAUGUGGAGGAACACCAGUGGUGAAGACGGUUUUCUGGGCUAAUACAGACGCUGAGGCGCGAAAGCAUGGGGAGCAAACAGG